CCUACGGGUGGCUGCAGUAAGGAAUAUUGGUCAAUGGAGGAAACUCUGAACCAGCCAUCCCGCGUGAAGGAUGAAGGGGCUCUGCCUUGUAAACUUCUUUUGUCUGGGGCGAAAAAGCUCGAUUUAUCGAGAACUGACGGUACCAGAAGAAUAAGCACCGGCUAACUCCGUGCCAGCAGCCUCGGUAAUACUGAGGGUGCAAGCGUUAUCCGGAAUCAAGGGUGUGUAGGGGUCUUUGGAAGGCAGUGGUGAACGGCUGUGGCUUAACCAUGGAAUUGCCAUUGAUACUGCAGAGCUUGAAUGAGGUUGAGGUUGGCGGAAUGUGACAUGUAGCGGUGAAAUGCUUAGAUAUGUCAUGGAACACCGAUUGCGAAGGCAGCUGACUGGACCUAUAUUGACGCUGAGGCACGAAAGCGUGGGGAGCGAACAGGAUUAGAUACCCCUGUAGUC
This 450-nucleotide ribosomal RNA is filed under the name uncultured bacterium. RNAcentral's name for it is "partial 16S ribosomal RNA". It matches the Rfam family "Bacterial small subunit ribosomal RNA", at positions 338 to 795 of the family's 1533-position model. The record is from RNAcentral.